Non-coding RNA from Trichonephila inaurata madagascariensis, 72 nucleotides. Lineage: Eukaryota; Metazoa; Arthropoda; Arachnida; Araneae; Nephilidae. The record is from the annotation of a GenBank genome assembly.
GUCCCUGUAGCGCAAUUUAUACCGCGUUGAACUUCUAAUCCAAAGAUUGUGGGUUCAAAUUCUCCUGGGAUG